AGCAGUGGGGAAUAUUGCACAAUGGGCGCAAGCCUGAUGCAGCCAUGCCGCGUGUGUGAAGAAGGCCUUCGGGUUGUAAAGCACUUUCAGUAGGGAGGAAGGUGGUAGUGUUAAUAGCACUGUCAUUUGACGUUACCUACAGAAGAAGCACCGGCUAACUCCGUGCCAGCAGCCGCGGUAAUACGGAGGGUGCGAGCGUUAAUCGGAAUUACUGGGCGUAAAGCGCAUGCAGGUGGUUUGUUAAGUCAGAUGUGAAAGCCCCGGGCUCAACCUGGGAAUUGCAUUUGAAACUGGCAAACUAGAGUACUGUAGAGGGGGGUAGAAUUUCAGGUGUAGCGGUGAAAUGCGUAGAGAUCUGAAGGAAUACCGGUGGCGAAGGCGGCCCCCUGGACAGAUACUGACACUCAGAUGCGAAAGCGUGGGGAGCAAACAGGAUUAGAUACCCUGGUAGUCCACGCCGUAAACGAUGUCUACUUGGAGGUUGUGGCCUUGAGCCGUGGCUUUCGGAGCUAACGCGUUAAGUAGACCG
Molecule: ribosomal RNA, 529 nt
Filed under: Vibrio vulnificus
Lineage: Bacteria; Pseudomonadati; Pseudomonadota; Gammaproteobacteria; Vibrionales; Vibrionaceae
Description: bacterial SSU rRNA
Rfam family: Bacterial small subunit ribosomal RNA
Source: RNAcentral